This 433-nucleotide ribosomal RNA is filed under the name uncultured bacterium. Its description in RNAcentral is "partial 16S ribosomal RNA". It matches the Rfam family "Bacterial small subunit ribosomal RNA", at positions 29 to 507 of the family's 1533-position model. The record is from RNAcentral.
AACGAACGCUGGCGGCAUGCCUAACACAUGCAAGUCGAACGAGACCUUCGGGUCUAGUGGCGCACGGGUGCGUAACGCGUGGGAACCUGCCCUUAGGUUCGGAAUAACUCCCCGAAAGGGGUGCUAAUACCGGAUAAUGUCUUCGGACCAAAGAUUUAUCGCCUUUGGAUGGGCCCGCGUUGGAUUAGCUAGUUGGUAGGGUAAAAGCCUACCAAGGCGACGAUCCAUAGCUGGUCUGAGAGGAUGAUCAGCCACACUGGGACUGAGACACGGCCCAGACUCCUACGGGAGGCAGCAGAGGGGAAUAUUGGACAAUGGGCGAAGGCAUGAUCCAGCAAUGCCGCGUGAGUGAUGAAGGCCUUAGGGUUGUAAAGCUCUUUUACCCGGGAUGAUAGUGACAGUACCGGGAGAAUAAGCUCCGGCUAACUCCGUG